AAUACUGAUUCUUUUCACGAGCAUGACUAACAUCAUUGUCAUAUUAUCAUGGUCUUCUUAGUAACAAGUGCCCUUCUUGUAUAAAAAUGACAUCGCAGAGUAUUUCAUCCUCAUAUUUUUCAAUAGAAAAUAGAACUUGUACAUGUUUGGUGACUCUAAUCUCCUUACUAGCAUUUAAUUAGUGUAGCUUGAAGGGAUUGGGGUGAGAUAAACAAAUCAAC
This 221-nucleotide long non-coding RNA is filed under the name Carica papaya (papaya). Its description in RNAcentral is "long non-coding RNA (CPAP_LNC011059)". Lineage: Eukaryota; Viridiplantae; Streptophyta; Magnoliopsida; Brassicales; Caricaceae. The record is from RNAcentral.